UUGUGGGAAUUGAAGUCCAGCGUUUCCUGCGAUGCUCGUUUUCAUCAUGGCACCAAGACUCGGUCUUCCAGAGUCCAUUGCGUGACGUAUGCGCUCAAUUGGCAACAAAAGGAAACAAAAGAAUCAACCUACGUUUCAAAGGAGAAAACAUUUUGUACUGCAGAGUUGGAUUACAAUGGUUUCUAAGAAACGCUACCAAGUAUAUUUAAGCUCCUGCACUUCUGUUAAAGGACUGCCUGCACCUCAUAACCCUGUAACAAAGAGGUGACGCUUGGAGCAAAAUUAUAAAGUAUCUUACUUGCAGGUUUAAGUGUUUUACCUGCAUGGAUAUAUCUGCACGAUGUGUGCCUUCAGUGCCCAGGGAAGCAAGAAGAGGCAGGAUCUCAUAGAGCCCAAGCUAACUUCAGAUUCCCUGUAAGCAAGGAGGCUGAUGGAAUUCCUGAUUCUCCUGCUGGGACUAUGGGCCUACAUCACCAUGCCUGCCCUAAGAAACGUGUGUUUGUUUGUUUGUUGACAUUCAUGUUGAUAUCAUAUCAUUGUAAUAUCUUACAUUUUGACAGCAUAUUGAUUGCUUGGAUUUAGAGAUGGAAUGAAAGGUUAAAUAGCAGAAAUACUUUUCUCUCUUUUAGGGGUUGAACCCAGCACCCUCUACAUGAUGGGCUGGCAGUUUUCUACUACCAUAUCUCUGGGCCAGUAUUCAGUCACAUAUUUGGGUCCAGGGGAUUGAACUCAGGCUAUCUCUGCUUAGCAGCAAGUGUGUUUCACUGAGCCAUCUUGUCUUGCCAAAUAAAAUUCCAAAGAUGAAGCUUGCAUGGACUUCUUGUGUUAGUCCAUCUAGAUUGUCUAUCUUUCAUUUUUAAAUGAAAAAGGUUUCAUUAGAAACCCUUGGGGCUGGA
Myodes glareolus (Bank vole) is the source of this 896-nucleotide long non-coding RNA. RefSeq lists it as uncharacterized. Lineage: Eukaryota; Metazoa; Chordata; Mammalia; Rodentia; Cricetidae. The record is from RefSeq and is a predicted model, not a curated record.